This 587-nucleotide ribosomal RNA is filed under the name uncultured bacterium. RNAcentral's name for it is "bacterial SSU rRNA". It matches the Rfam family "Bacterial small subunit ribosomal RNA", at positions 337 to 917 of the family's 1533-position model. The record is from RNAcentral.
UCCUACGGGAGGCAGCAGUGGGGAAUAUUGCACAAUGGGGGGAACCCUGAUGCAGCCAUGCCGCGUGUGUGAAGAAGGCCUUCGGGUUGUAAAGCACUUUCAGUUGUGAGGAAAGGUUAGUAGUUAAUACCUGCUAGCUGUGACGUUAGCAACAGAAGAAGCACCGGCUAACUCCGUGCCAGCAGCCGCGGUAAUACGGAGGGUGCGAGCGUUAAUCGGAAUUACUGGGCGUAAAGCGCACGCAGGCGGUUUGUUAAGCUAGAUGUGAAAGCCCAGGGCUUAACCUUGGAACUGCAUUUGAUACUGGUAAUCUUGAGUACAGUAGAGGGAGGUGGAAUUUCAGGUGUAGCGGUGAAAUGCGUAGAUAUCUGAAGGAACAUCAGUGGCGAAGGCGACCUUCUGGACUGAUACUGACGCUGAGGUGCGAAAGUGUGGGGAGCAAACAGGAUUAGAUACCCUGGUAGUCCACACCGUAAACGAUGAAUGCCAGUCGUCGGAUAGUAUACUAUUCGGUGACACACCUAACGGAUUAAGCAUUCCGCCUGGGGAGUACGGUCGCAAGAUUAAAACUCAAAGGAAUUGACGGA